This 466-nucleotide ribosomal RNA is filed under the name uncultured bacterium. RNAcentral's name for it is "bacterial SSU rRNA". It matches the Rfam family "Bacterial small subunit ribosomal RNA", at positions 32 to 507 of the family's 1533-position model. The record is from RNAcentral.
GACGACGCUGGCGGCACGCCUAACACAUGCAAGUCGAACGGACUUAAACGGAGCUUGCUCUUUUAAGUUAGUGGCGGACGGGUGAGUAACACGUGAGCAACCUGCCUUUCUGAGGGGGAUAACGUUUGGAAACGAACGCUAAUACCGCAUAACAUAUAUUUAUCGCAUGAUAGAUAUAUCAAAGGAGCAAUCCGCAGAAAGAUGGGCUCGCGUCUGAUUAGCUAGUUGGUGAGGUAAUGGCUCACCAAGGCAACGAUCAGUAGCCGGACUGAGAGGUUGAACGGCCACAUUGGGACUGAGACACGGCCCAGACUCCUACGGGAGGCAGCAGUGGGGAAUAUUGCACAAUGGGGGAAACCCUGAUGCAGCGAUGCCGCGUGGAGGAAGAAGGUUUUCGGAUUGUAAACUCCUGUCUUCAGGGACGAUAAUGACGGUACCUGAGGAGGAAGCACCGGCUAACUACGUG